GACGAACGCUGGCGGCGUGCUUAACACAUGCAAGUCGAACGGAAAGGCCCUGCUUUUGUGGGGUGCUCGAGUGGCGAACGGGUGAGUAACACGUGUGUAACCUGCCCUUGACUUUGGGAUAACUUCAGGAAACUGGGGCUAAUACCGGAUAGGAUCUCCUGCUGCAUGGUGGGGGUUGGAAAGUUUCGGCGGUUGGGGAUGGACUCGCGGCUUAUCAGCUUGUUGGUGGGGUAGUGGCUUACCAAGGCUUUGACGGGUAGCCGGCCUGAGAGGGUGACCGGCCACAUUGGGACUGAGAUACGGACCAGACUCCUACGGGAGGCAGCAGUGGGGAAUAUUGCACAAUGGGCGGAAGCCUGAUGCAGCAACGCCGCGUGCGGGAUGACGGCCUUCGGGUUGUAAACCGCUUUCGCCUGUGACGAAGCGUGAGUGACGGUAAUGGGUAAAGAAGCACCGGCUAACUACGUG
RNAcentral lists this ribosomal RNA (468 nucleotides) under uncultured bacterium. Its description in RNAcentral is "partial 16S ribosomal RNA". It matches the Rfam family "Bacterial small subunit ribosomal RNA", at positions 28 to 507 of the family's 1533-position model. The record is from RNAcentral.